Molecule: non-coding RNA, 591 nt
Organism: Paramormyrops kingsleyae
Lineage: Eukaryota; Metazoa; Chordata; Actinopteri; Osteoglossiformes; Mormyridae
Source: RefSeq, a predicted model, not a curated record
AUGCAUGUUGUGCCGUCCGAAAUAGCAAAAGAUGUUUUGUUAGUUUGUUCCUCUUCGCAUACUGUAUUUUCCCUAGGUUACAUCAGUUCUAGACGUAUUCAGAGACAAGCUGUCGUUUUCUUCCUCUCCGUUAACCUUCUUCAGGCCAUAAAGAACAUAUGUCUAUGGUUUUUCUAGGUUAAUUGUCUACCUUAAAGCUGCCACCAACAACAAAGCUACAACAGUUUUUGAUGGUUUCUUGUCAGCAAUCAGACAAUAUGGAAUACCAUCACGAGUGCGGUCAGACAAAGGGGGGGGGAUGUGAAGGUUGCACAUUUCAUGGUCCAGGCAAUGGGAGAGAACAGGAACUCUCACAUUACUGGCAGAAGUGUUCACAACCAGCGUCUUUACCCAGCUGGAGAUUCAAGGACUGCUCAACCCUGGUGAAGAAAUUGACUUGUUUGCACUGCACAGAUGCUUUUUUCAUCACAUUCAAAAUCAUCUUCAGGGGGCUUCCGGUGACGUCAUGUUGCUAGCAGCAGCUUGAAGAAUUAGCUCCGUUCAUAUACGAAUAUAUUUCCUAACUAAACUACACAAAACUCGGCGAAAUUU